AAAAAAAAAAAAAAAAGAGAAAAUCUUCGAUGCUUUUCUGAAACCGGUUUCAAAAGCAAUGUGCUCAAGGCUGUUGUUAGUAGGGCGACAGUCAGUAUUGAGGUAUGGUACUUGUCAAUAUGUUAGACAUUGGAUUUUGAAAAAAAUCCCUGCGAAGCAUGGUAUCGGUUUUAGAGGUUUGAUUAUGAAAGCCUUCCCCUUCUUUCUUCAUGGUAGAGGUGGCUGUUGCUUCCUUGCCAGAGGAUUUGCAUCAUCUUUGUAUAUUUUGCUAUGAAUUUUGCUCAAUAGGCUCCUCUUGCUCUCUGGUGCAGGAUAUGAAGCGACAA
This 326-nucleotide unclassified non-coding RNA is filed under the name Hevea brasiliensis (rubber tree). Lineage: Eukaryota; Viridiplantae; Streptophyta; Magnoliopsida; Malpighiales; Euphorbiaceae. The record is from RNAcentral.